CAGGAGAAAAACACAUGCAAAUCUCAUGGGUCACUAACGAUAAAUCCGCUCCUUCAAUUGUUGAAUAUGGAACCUCACCAGGGAUAUACACCUCUUCAGCUGAAGGAGACACCACCUCUUAUAGUUACCUAUUCUAUAGCUCAGGAAAGAUACACCACACUGUCAUUGGACCUCUGGAACAUGAUACUGUUUAUUUUUAUCGAUGCGGAGGACAAGGUCCUGAGUUUCAGCUCAAGACCCCUCCAGCUCAAUUUCCUGUUACUUUUGCUGUGGCUGGGGAUUUAGGUCAAACUGGCUGGACUAAAU
This 306-nucleotide long non-coding RNA is filed under the name Theobroma cacao (cacao). Its description in RNAcentral is "long non-coding RNA (TCAC_LNC004194)". Lineage: Eukaryota; Viridiplantae; Streptophyta; Magnoliopsida; Malvales; Malvaceae. The record is from RNAcentral.